This 427-nucleotide ribosomal RNA is filed under the name uncultured bacterium. RNAcentral's name for it is "bacterial SSU rRNA". It matches the Rfam family "Bacterial small subunit ribosomal RNA", at positions 355 to 774 of the family's 1533-position model. The record is from RNAcentral.
UGGGGAAUUUUGGACAAUGGGCGCAAGCCUGAUCCAGCCAUGCCGCGUGCAGGAUAAAGGCCUUCGGGUUGUAAACUGCUUUUGUACGGAACGAAAAGUCUCUUUCUAAUAAAGAGGGAUCAUGACGGUACCGUAAGAAUAAGCACCGGCUAACUACGUGCCAGCAGCCGCGGUAAUACGUAGGGUGCGAGCGUUAAUCGGAAUUACUGGGCGUAAAGCGUGCGCAGGCGGUUUAGUAAGACAGGCGUGAAAUCCCCGGGCUCAACCUGGGAACUGCGCUUGUGACUGCUAAGCUAGAGUACGGUAGAGGGGGAUGGAAUUCCGCGUGUAGCAGUGAAAUGCGUAGAUAUGCGGAGGAACACCGAUGGCGAAGGCAAUCCCCUGGACCUGUACUGACGCUCAUGCACGAAAGCGUGGGGAGCAAACA